UACUAGCGGUUCAAGUCGCAGCCAUUUUUAUUGGGUCUAAAACAUCCGUAGCUUGUUUAAUAAGUUUCUUGUGAAAUUUCAUAUCUUAAGUAUGAAGCGGGCAAGAAGUACUAUUAAACUAGAGACUGGAAGACGUAAGAAGUACGUUUGAAGUAACGGUAAAAUGUGUUAAUCUCAGACGGACUCACAAGAGCGAAGGCAUCUUACGAGGACAGUUCUGACAGUAAGGGAUGAAGGCUAGGGGCGCAAAACGGAUUAGAUACCCGUGUAGUCCUAGCAGUAAACACUGCACACUAAACAUUAGUACCUCCUCGAGAGGUAUUGGUGCUGAAGGGAAGCCGAAGAGUGUGCUACCUGGGAAGUAUAGUCGCAAGGCCGAAACUUAAAGGAAUUGGCGGGUGGACACUACAACGGGUGACGCGUGCGGUUCAAUUAGAUUCUACAUCGUGAACCUCACCAGGAGCGACAGCAGAAUGAAGGUCAGUCUGAAGGGCUUACCUGACACGCUGAGAGGAGUUGCAUGGCCGACGUCAGCCUGUGCUGUGAAGUGACCUGUUAAAUCAGGUAACAGGCAAGACCCACAUGUAUAUUUAUAAUUACUAUAUACAGAUCGCCUUGGUAACAAGGAUGAAAGUGUGGGCUACGUCAGGUGAGUACAGCCCGAAUCCCCUGGGCAACACGCGCGCGUCAAUGGUAGAUACAACGAGAUGCAACACUGAAAAGUGAAGCCAAUCCCUUAAAGUCUAUCUCAGUCCAGAUUGAGGUUUGUAACCCAGCCUCAUGACGCUGGAAUCCGUAGUAAUCGUUUGUCAUCAGCGAACGGUGAAUAAGUCAAUGUCCAU
This 842-nucleotide ribosomal RNA is filed under the name uncultured archaeon. RNAcentral's name for it is "SSU rRNA". It matches the Rfam family "Archaeal small subunit ribosomal RNA", at positions 474 to 1337 of the family's 1478-position model. The record is from RNAcentral.